AACAUUGUAAUCUCCUGAUUGUAACAAUGGAGAUACUUGGUCUAACAGAAUCAGGAAUGUCUUGUGAAUUUACAUUGCUCCACCCUACUUAGUCUAACAAGGUCAGUAAUGUCUGCACUCAUACUUCCCUCAGACAGCUUCCUUGAGACAGUCACAUGAAUCUCCUUUCAUUAGGAAUAACAGUUCAGUGGAAUGGAAUAAUGAUGGAAGUGGCACGGUGGAGGUUCCUAUAUAGAACAUCAUUGGAAUGGAGGCAACUCAAGAUACAGGAACAGAUCGAGUUUUGAAGAGACUAAUUGGGAAGCAGUAUGGUAUAGUGGGAAGAUGGCCAAUCUCAAAGCCAGGAAAACCUGUGCUCAUGGCUUGCUUAUGGUAGCUACUGGCUAUGUGACCCCAGGAGAAAGUUAUUGAACCUCUCAAAGCUCUGGAAAACCAUAAAUUGUUAAGAAGCUGCUGAUCUACUUUAUAGAGAGCUUUCCUCACCAAGACAUUCCCUAUAAACCUAAAAUGAUAGUUCCAG
Molecule: long non-coding RNA, 520 nt
Organism: Monodelphis domestica (gray short-tailed opossum)
Lineage: Eukaryota; Metazoa; Chordata; Mammalia; Didelphimorphia; Didelphidae
Source: RefSeq, a predicted model, not a curated record